GCCAGGAGCAGUGGCGCACGCCUGUAAUCCCAGCAGCUUGGGAGGCUGAGGCAGGAGGAUCAUGAGUUCAAAGCUAGCAAUUUAGUGAGGCCCUGAGCAAUUUAGCAAAUCCCUGUCUCUA
RNAcentral lists this small RNA (121 nucleotides) under Marmota monax (woodchuck). Lineage: Eukaryota; Metazoa; Chordata; Mammalia; Rodentia; Sciuridae. The record is from RNAcentral.